RNAcentral lists this unclassified non-coding RNA (181 nucleotides) under uncultured fungus. Its description in RNAcentral is "partial contains 5.8S ribosomal RNA, internal transcribed spacer 2, and large subunit ribosomal RNA". The record is from RNAcentral. Lineage: Eukaryota; Fungi.
AACGCAUAUGGCGCCUUGCGGGGCAACCCGGAAGGCAUGCCUGUUUGAGCAUCAUCCGCAGCAUCCACCUUGGGCCUUCACCAGUGAUCGCCCGGAAAGCGCGUCCGCCUGCCGUGUCAAGUGCGUCGGCAGGCGCCACCCACGUGGUCUCAAAUCAGGCAAGACUACCCGCCGAACUUAA